This 420-nucleotide ribosomal RNA is filed under the name uncultured eukaryote. RNAcentral describes it as "bacterial SSU rRNA". It matches the Rfam family "Eukaryotic small subunit ribosomal RNA", at positions 592 to 1018 of the family's 1831-position model. The record is from RNAcentral.
CAAUAGCGUAUAUUUAAGUUGUUGCAGUUAAAAGCUCGUAGUUGGAUUUCGGAUGUGAACGACCGGUCCGCCGUUGCGGUGUGCACUGGACGUUCGUAUCUUGUUGUCGGGGACGCGCUCCUGGCCUUAACUGGUCGGGACGCGGAGUCGGCGCUGUUACUUUGAAAAAUUAGAGUGUUCAAAGCAGGCAACCGCUCUGAAUACAUUAGCAUGGAAUAACGCUAUAGGACUCUGGUGCUAUUUUGUUGGUUUCGAACACCGGAGUAAUGAUUAAAAGGGGCAGUCAGGGGCACUCGUAUUCCGUCGAGAGAGGUGAAAUUCUCAGACCAAUGGAAGACGAACCACUGCGAAAGCAUUUGCCAGGGAUGUUUUCACUGAUCAAGAACGAAAGUUAGGGGAUCGAAGACGAUUAGAUACCAU